This 301-nucleotide ribosomal RNA is filed under the name uncultured bacterium. Its description in RNAcentral is "partial 16S ribosomal RNA". It matches the Rfam family "Bacterial small subunit ribosomal RNA", at positions 509 to 807 of the family's 1533-position model. The record is from RNAcentral.
CAGCAGCCGCGGGAAUACGGAGGGUGCAAGCGUUACUCGGAAUUACUGGGCGUAAAGCGUGCGUAGGCGGUGGUUUAAGUCCGUUGUGAAAGCCCUGGGCUCAACCUGGGAAUUGCAGUGGAUACUGAAUCACUAGAGUGUGGUAGAGGAUAGUGGAAUUUCCGGUGUAGCAGUGAAAUGCGUAGAGAUCGGAAGGAACAUCUGUGGCGAAGGCGACUAUCUGGGCCAACACUGACACUGAGGCACGAAAGUGUGGGGAGCAAACAGGAUUAGAUACCCGCGUAGUCCCUGUCUCUUAUAC